RNAcentral lists this transfer RNA (88 nucleotides) under Bdellovibrionales bacterium. RNAcentral's name for it is "tRNA-Leu". The record is from RNAcentral. Lineage: Bacteria; Pseudomonadati; Bdellovibrionota; Bdellovibrionia; Bdellovibrionales.
GUGCCUGUGCUGGAACUGGUAGACAGGCUAGGUUGAGGGCCUAGUACUCAUUUUGAGUGUGAGCGUUCAAGUCGCUUCAGGCACACCA